This 1385-nucleotide ribosomal RNA is filed under the name bacterium NLAE-zl-P168. Its description in RNAcentral is "16S ribosomal RNA". It matches the Rfam family "Bacterial small subunit ribosomal RNA". The record is from RNAcentral.
AGUCGAGGGGCAGCAUGAACUUAGCUUGCUAAGUUUGAUGGCGACCGGCGCACGGGUGAGUAACACGUAUCCAACCUGCCGAUGACUCGGGGAUAGCCUUUCGAAAGAAAGAUUAAUACCCGAUGGCAUAGUUCUUCCGCAUGGUAGAACUAUUAAAGNAUUUCGGUCAUCGAUGGGGAUGCGUUCCAUUAGGUUGUUGGCGGGGUAACGGCCCACCAAGCCUUCGAUGGAUAGGGGUUCUGAGAGGAAGGUCCCCCACAUUGGAACUGAGACACGGUCCAAACUCCUACGGGAGGCAGCAGUGAGGAAUAUUGGUCAAUGGACGAGAGUCUGAACCAGCCAAGUAGCGUGAAGGAUGACUGCCCUAUGGGUUGUAAACUUCUUUUAUACGGGAAUAAAGUGAGGCACGUGUGCCUUUUUGUAUGUACCGUAUGAAUAAGGAUCGGCUAACUCCGUGCCAGCAGCCGCGGUAAUACGGAGGAUCCGAGCGUUAUCCGGAUUUAUUGGGUUUAAAGGGAGCGUAGGCGGACGCUUAAGUCAGUUGUGAAAGUUUGCGGCUCAACCGUAAAAUUGCAGUUGAUACUGGGUGUCUUGAGUACAGUAGAGGCAGGCGGAAUUCGUGGUGUAGCGGUGAAAUGCUUAGAUAUCACGAAGAACUCCGAUUGCGAAGGCAGCUUGCUGGACUGUAACUGACGCUGAUGCUCGAAAGUGUGGGUAUCAAACAGGAUUAGAUACCCUGGUAGUCCACACAGUAAACGAUGAAUACUCGCUGUUUGCGAUAUACAGUAAGCGGCCAAGCGAAAGCGUUAAGUAUUCCACCUGGGGAGUACGCCGGCAACGGUGAAACUCAAAGGAAUUGACGGGGGCCCGCACAAGCGGAGGAACAUGUGGUUUAAUUCGAUGAUACGCGAGGAACCUUACCCGGGCUUGAAUUGCAACUGAAUGAUGUGGAGACAUNUCAGCCGCAAGGCAGUUGUGAAGGUGCUGCAUGGUUGUCGUCAGCUCGUGCCGUGAGGUGUCGGCUUAAGUGCCAUAACGAGCGCAACCCUUAUCGAUAGUUACCAUCAGGUUAUGCUGGGGACUCUGUCGAGACUGCCGUCGUAAGAUGUGAGGAAGGUGGGGAUGACGUCAAAUCAGCACGGCCCUUACGUCCGGGGCUACACACGUGUUACAAUGGGGGGUACAGAAGGCAGCUACACGGCGACGUGAUGCUAAUCCCGAAAGCCUCUCUCAGUUCGGAUUGGAGUCUGCAACCCGACUCCAUGAAGCUGGAUUCGCUAGUAAUCGCGCAUCAGCCACGGCGCGGUGAAUACGUUCCCGGGCCUUGUACACACCGCCCGUCAAGCCAUGAAAGCCGGGGGUACCUGAAGUGCGAACCGCAAGAG